RNAcentral lists this ribosomal RNA (492 nucleotides) under uncultured bacterium. RNAcentral describes it as "partial 16S ribosomal RNA". It matches the Rfam family "Bacterial small subunit ribosomal RNA", at positions 29 to 507 of the family's 1533-position model. The record is from RNAcentral.
AGUGAACGCUGGCGGUAGGCCUAACACAUGCAAGUCGAACGGCAGCACAGUAAGAGCUUGCUCUUACGGGUGGCGAGUGGCGGACGGGUGAGGAAUACAUCGGAAUCUACUUUUUCGUGGGGGAUAACGUAGGGAAACUUACGCUAAUACCGCAUACGACCUACGGGUGAAAGCAGGGGAUCUUCGGACCUUGCGCGAUUGAAUGAGCCGAUGUCGGAUUAGCUAGUUGGCGGGGUAAAGGCCCACCAAGGCGACGAUCCGUAGCUGGUCUGAGAGGAUGAUCAGCCACACUGGAACUGAGACACGGUCCAGACUCCUACGGGAGGCAGCAGUGGGGAACAUUGGACAAUGGGCGCAAGCCUGAUCCAGCCAUACCGCGUGGGUGAAGAAGGCCUUCGGGUUGUAAAGCCCUUUUGUUGGGAAAGAAAAGCAGCAGGUUAAUACCCCGCUGUUCUGACGGUACCCAAAGAAUAAGCACCGGCUAACUUCGUG